Delphinapterus leucas (beluga whale) is the source of this 2165-nucleotide non-coding RNA. Lineage: Eukaryota; Metazoa; Chordata; Mammalia; Artiodactyla; Monodontidae. The record is from RefSeq and is a predicted model, not a curated record.
GAGUGUGGGUUCCAUCCCUGGUCAAGGAGCUGAGAUCCCACAUGCCUUGCAGCCAAAAAACCAAAGAACAUAAAACAGAAGCAAUAUUGUAACAAAGUCAAUACAGACUUUGAAAAUAGUCCACCAAAAAAAAAAAUCUUUAAAAAAGAAAAAAAGAACAUAAACUUUGAGGGAAUUCGCUGGUGGUCCAGUGGUUAAGACUCAGGCUUUCACUGCUGGCGUGGGUUUAAUCCUGGUCACCGGAACUAAGAUUCCCCAAACUGCGAGGCGCAGCCCAGAAAAAAAAACCAUAAACUUUAGGACCAGACAACCUGGAAAUAAGUCCCAGUUCCCUGUAUACUACAUAUGUUCUCUAAGAGCAAGUUACUUGACCUUUUACGCCACAAUUUCCUCACCUUAGAAGGGGUAUACUCCAUCUCACCAGGUCAUUAGGAGAUUAAAGGAGUUAACGUGUAACGUACCUGGAACACCACCUGGCACAUAGUAAGUUACUGCUCAGUAAGGUUUAGUUAUAUUAUUGCCUGACUUUCUACACAAGAAAUUUUGAGAGAUGGGCAACUGAGCAGCUAUAGAAAUUUUAUCUUCGAAGCUGCCUAUUCUAUUCAGAGCUGUUCUGGCUUGGCAGUAGCCUUCCUCACCUCUUAACAACAAUAUCAUAGCCCUGCAGUAAGACCAUUUCAUGUCACCACAGAGAGAAACUGGGAGCAAACAGGGAUGUUAGUGGAUUCCAAGUUUAUCCAAAGAUCCUAUGCCAGCUAUUCAUUUCCAGAUUUUUCUGACCCAGGAGUAAAACAAAAGAAAGCUUUGUUAUAUGUGAUGGAUAAAGAAGUAACAAAAGGGAACAAUUUAAGUCUGGAAGGGAGAAAAAAAGAGACAAAAGGCACUACAGAACUGUCCAUAACGUCCCCUCCACUUUACACAGGGUGCCAAAGAAGAAGCAACCACUAGGUGGCAGCAGAUGAGCAGAUGAACCAAAGGGAACCAAUUGCCUUCCGUUUUAGGAACCUUUGCACCAAUCCCAGCCUACAGCACCUGGCACCUCAGACAGGCUGCGAGGACGGAAGCAGCAUCAGGUUCCAAUAGGAGAGCACGCUCCCCAGGGAUGAGUUAGUAAAGAAACAAGACCUUUGUGCAUGGAAUGAAAGAACCAUGCACAAGGAGGCUGAGGCCCUUCUGAAAGGCCACUGACGCUGUGACCUUACUGCUUUCUCUACCAAUGGACACCUCACUGGCCCAGGUUACAAUAAUCCUAGACACUGGUGUCUCAAAAUAGAGCACUUCAGUUACCUCUUAGGCUGGUCUCCUUUAGCCAGGUGAGAGGAGCCCCGCCUCUCUUCCUGGGUCCAGCCACAGUUUGACAUAGCAUAGCGAAGAAUGGCAUCGGAAACGGACGUGGGGCUUCGGCCCUGGACACAGGCUUCUAUCUCAGGCACCGAGAGCUGGCUUUGCAGGAAGAGGUGUAACUGGCUGUCUGACAGGAGGACCACACUCUGCAGGACCCUGGGGCAAACACAGGGGCCAUCCUGCUCGGCACACACACCUCACCCCCCGGCCCCUCCCCAGGAGGCAAGUGCUAGCCCGCCAAGUCCACUCACUUUUCGAGAAAGUGCUGCAGACCUUGUCGUCGCUUCUCAAUGAAUUCAUCUGAGCUGCCAAAGAAGGUUGACUUCCCAGGAAGUUCAGGCAUUUGGUAACUUGCCAGCACAAGAGCAGAGUUAAAUACACUGAAGUGUCUUUCCACAAAAGUAACCAUAGGAGAGAUGAUGACAAGGAAAUCCACACCUCAGUAGAGCUCACACAUCUCCAGUGCCUUGAAAGGUUUGCCAAAUUCAGAACCAUAAUUUAGUAACUAAAUGGUCAUCAUUCUCAGGCUCAAAGAGAGUUUGCCUAAGGCUCCGAGAGCAAGCUCCUCUCCUUUGGGGCUUAUACCACUUAGAAACAAAUAGCUAUAAACUGGCUUUAAAAAAAGCCUAGGACCCCCCAAGACGCUAUAUACUUAAAACUAAGUUUAAAGGGCACUAAAAAUGUUUCAAUUGUAACUUUCCUUAAAAACAAUGGAACAAACACAAAAACCUAUACUUCAAGUAAUAAUUUCUAGCAACUACUAUUCUCCCAGCUCCCUCCCUGUAGGUGCCACUCCUCAGGAGGAAAUGAAGCUCAUUUCU